CGUUCCAGCACUGUUGUCAGCAUCUCCUUUUCAGUCAAGAAGUCAAUUACAGUCACACACAACGUUUUCAGAAGCGUGCAGAGCUAGGCAAUGCACACGGACGAGUCAAUCAGCAAAAGGACGUGCCGGGCGCUUCAAAGUAUACGUGCUGUUACGAAGCGUGACAUCCUAUACUCCCGUUUCUGUUUGUCGCAAUGUUACUCGUAUUACUGACAUCAUCGAGUAACAGUGUGAGCUCCAGUCGGGGUACAAACACUACGGCGCUUCGCAGCGGCCAUUUUGAACUGCAAGGCGGAAGUGGCUGCUGACGAUGCCAGUCCUUUAUCGGAUGCGGAAAGUCGUCGUCUGCUUCCGGAACGCACGCCCCCAGAUUACGAAACUGGAAUUGCUAUCCACCAAGUUGGCCGCGCGUCCCCACCAAUCCUUUCUGAGCUAUGCGCCACUUUUUCGUUUUUUUGUUUGUUUUUGUUUGAAGAAGAAACUCUGCAGCACGUGAAACAGCUGGACGAAGAAGAACGAGGGAUUCUUCGGUGGUCCCGGCCACUGAGACGGAACGAAAAACUUGGGGCUGGAAAAUGUUAUGUACAGAGGUACACCCUUCAACGCUGAGCAUCUGGGCCACUGUUUCCUCCUGCCUGAUCUUCGUGUCCUUUUGGGCACCGUACCAAGUAAGAAAGUACUUAUCCGCAAAACGGGCACAAGGAUCCUUCUUGGCGGAUGACUGUGUGGACCGAAUAAUCAACAUCGCUGUUGGAGCAGCGUUGGCUCACUGUGUGACUCACGUGAUACCCUUUACGCAAAACGUGAGCGACGGCCUGAGACACUACCUGAACGUGGACAAGAUGAUUCUGGCAACGGGGAUCUUCUGUACUGUCGUCGUCGACAUUUUGCUACUCCUCUCUUUUCCGUCGCACACCGUUCCCUACCUGAACUGGCGUCGAGGAAAGACAGAACCCAAGGACGAGGUGCAACGUAUUCUGCUGAGGCGCACCGUCGACAGGGACGCCACCCUGCGGGUUUCUCACCUUUCGUACGUCCAGGUGGUGGUCUUGGCGAGCGUCGUCGUAUUCCUCGAGAACUUUUUCGCCCAUAAUUAUUUAACGAAGAGUAAACGACCCUGCGGCUUCGCCUUGGUGCAUCAGAUGGUGUUGGCAACUACUUUAGGCAUUCUUCCAUUGAGAACUCCCUCUUUAAAAUUCAAUAGGAAACUUUCUUCGUUACUGCCUUUAAGUAUGUUUCUGGGCACGGUCGUUGGUGUUUUGCUGAGUUGCCAGGAUGAAGCUCUGUUUAAUCUUUUUGCCGUUGCAGCCUGGCUGUCGUGUGGAGCGUUUCUUUGUGUUCUGUGGGGUCACUUCUUGUUGCCGAUGCUCUCCACUAGUUGUGGUGUGUAUGAAGCGUGCUGCGGAUUAGGGCUGUACGUGGGCUUCAUGUUGCAGGUUCACGUUGCAUGCGCGAUUGUAAAUGGGGACGGUUAGAUGGCGCAUUAGCUGUUGUACUAUACAUAUGCUAUAACGCAGUAUCCAACGUUACCGAUUACAUUUUUAUCCCUUCGCUGUCCGGAGCCGA
Long non-coding RNA from Ornithodoros turicata, 1566 nucleotides. RefSeq lists it as uncharacterized. Lineage: Eukaryota; Metazoa; Arthropoda; Arachnida; Ixodida; Argasidae. The record is from RefSeq and is a predicted model, not a curated record. The transcript is spliced from 3 exons.